CGCAAGUCUGAUGGAGCAACGCCGCGUGAGUGAAGAAGGGUUUCGGCUCGUAAAGCUCUGUUGGUAGAGAAGAACGAGCGUGGUAGUAACUGGCCACGCUGUGACGGUAUUCACCCAGAAAGUCACGGCUAACUACGUGCCAGCAGCCGCGGUAAUACGUAGGUGGCAAGCGUUAUCCGGAUUUAUCUGGGCGUAAAGCGAGCUGCAGGCGGUUGAAUAAGUCUGAUGUGAAAGCCUUCGGCUCAACCGGAGAAUGGCAUCAGAAACCGGGCAACUUGAGUGCAGAAGAGGACAGUGGAACUCCAUGUGUAGCGGUGGAAUGCGUAGAUAUAUGGAAGAACACCAGUGGCGAAGGCGGCUCUCUGGUCUGCAACUGACGCUGAGGCUCGAAAGCAUGGGUAGCGAACAGGAUUAGAUACCCUGGUAGUCCAUGCCGUAAACGAUGAGUGCUAAGUGUUGGGAGGUUUCCGCCUCUCAGUGCUGCAGCUAACGCAUUAAGCACUCCGCCUGGGGAGUACGACCGCAAGGUUGAAACUCAAAGGAAUUGACGGGGGCCCGCACAAGCGGUGGAGCAUGUGGUUUAAUUCGAAGCUACGCGAAGAACCUUACCAGGUCUUGACAUCC
Molecule: ribosomal RNA, 624 nt
Filed under: Lactobacillus sp. oral taxon G18
Lineage: Bacteria; Bacillati; Bacillota; Bacilli; Lactobacillales; Lactobacillaceae
Description: bacterial SSU rRNA
Rfam family: Bacterial small subunit ribosomal RNA
Source: RNAcentral